This 505-nucleotide ribosomal RNA is filed under the name uncultured bacterium. RNAcentral's name for it is "partial 16S ribosomal RNA". It matches the Rfam family "Bacterial small subunit ribosomal RNA", at positions 28 to 507 of the family's 1533-position model. The record is from RNAcentral.
GACGAACGCUGGCGGCGUGCCUAAUACAUGCAAGUAGAACGCACAGUUUAUACCGUAGCUUGCUACACCAUAAACUGUGAGUUGCGAGCGGGUGAGUAACGCGUAGGUAACCUGCCUGGUAGCGGGGGAUAACUAUUGGAAACGAUAGCUAAUACCGCAUAAUAUUGAUUAUUGCAUGAUAAUUGAUUGAAAGAUGCUAUUGCAUCACUACCAGAUGGACCUGCGUUGUAUUAGCUAGUAGGUGAGGUAACGGCUCACCUAGGCGACGAUACAUAGCCGACCUGAGAGGGUGAUCGGCCACACUGGGACUGAGACACGGCCCAGACUCCUACGGGAGGCAGCAGUAGGGAAUCUUCGGCAAUAGACGAAAGUCUGACCGAGCAACGCCGCGUGAGUGAAGAAGGUUUUCGGAUCGUAAAGCUCUGUUGUAAGAGAAGAACGGGUGUGAGAGUGGAAAGUUCACACUGUGACGGUAUCUUACCAGAAAGGGACGGCUAACUACGUG